Molecule: ribosomal RNA, 406 nt
Filed under: Oscillospiraceae bacterium
Lineage: Bacteria; Bacillati; Bacillota; Clostridia; Eubacteriales; Oscillospiraceae
Also listed under: 2 other names
Description: bacterial SSU rRNA
Rfam family: Bacterial small subunit ribosomal RNA
Source: RNAcentral
UGGGGAAUAUUGGGCAAUGGGCGAAAGCCUGACCCAGCAACGCCGCGUGAAGGAAGAAGGCCUUCGGGUUGUAAACUUCUUUUAAGAGGGACGAAGAAGUGACGGUACCUCUUGAAUAAGCCACGGCUAACUACGUGCCAGCAGCCGCGGUAAUACGUAGGUGGCGAGCGUUAUCCGGAUUUACUGGGUGUAAAGGGCGCGUAGGCGGGAAUGCAAGUCAGAUGUGAAAUCCAAGGGCUCAACCCUUGAACUGCAUUUGAAACUGUAUUUCUUGAGUGUCGGAGAGGUUGACGGAAUUCCUAGUGUAGCGGUGAAAUGCGUAGAUAUUAGGAGGAACACCAGUGGCGAAGGCGGUCAACUGGACGAUAACUGACGCUGAGGCGCGAAAGCGUGGGGAGCAAACAGG